GUAAGAUGGCGGACCGGCGGCGGCAGCGCGCUUCGCAAGACACCGAGGACGAGGAAUCUGGUGCUUCGGGCUCCGACAGCGGCGGCUCCCCGUUGCGGGGAGGCGGGAGCUGCAGCGGUAGCGCCGGAGGCGGCGGCAGCGGUUCUCUGCCUUCACAGCGCGGAGGCCGAACCGGGGCCCUUCAUCUGCGGCGGGUGGAGAGCGGGGGCGCCAAGAGUGCUGAGGAGUCGGAGUGUGAGAGUGAAGAUGGCAUUGAAGGUGAUGGUGAGUAGCAUCUUUUACCCCAUUAGGACAAGAGUUUUUUUUUAACAUAAACUCAGGUCAUCUAUUUCCAACAUCGACAUUCUCACACACUGUCACGGAUUUAGGGCCACAGAGUGCCUUUUUGUAACAUAGUGGUUAAGAGCAUAGGCUUUAGCAGUAUAGUCUUCAGCAAGUUACCCUCUGAGCCUGUUUCUCCUUUUGUAAGUGGGGACUAUAAUUUUAUCCACGUUGUAGGUUGAUGUCAGAAUUAAAUGAGACUCUUAGUCUGACCUGUAAUAAGCAGCCAAAAAAUGUUUCUGGGUUUCUUUUUUUCC
RNAcentral lists this small RNA (578 nucleotides) under Pan troglodytes (chimpanzee). RNAcentral's name for it is "retained intron". The record is from RNAcentral. Lineage: Eukaryota; Metazoa; Chordata; Mammalia; Primates; Hominidae.